CUUUCUUCUUCUUCUUCUCA
RNAcentral lists this microRNA (20 nucleotides) under Corchorus capsularis. Its description in RNAcentral is "sRNA CCACVL1_15089". The record is from RNAcentral. Lineage: Eukaryota; Viridiplantae; Streptophyta; Magnoliopsida; Malvales; Malvaceae.